Molecule: ribosomal RNA, 249 nt
Filed under: uncultured bacterium
Lineage: Bacteria
Description: partial 16S ribosomal RNA
Rfam family: Bacterial small subunit ribosomal RNA
Source: RNAcentral
UACGGAGGGUGCAAGCGUUAUCCGGAUUCACUGGGUUUAAAGGGUGCGUAGGAGGGCAGGUAAGUCAGUGGUGAAAUCUCCAAGCUUAACUUGGAACUGCCGUUGAUACUAUCUGUCUUGAAUACCGUGGAGGUGAGCGGAAUAUGUCAUGUAGCGGUGAAAUGCUUAGAUAUGACAUAGAACACCAAUUGCGAAGGCAGCUACGCUACACGAAUAUGACUCUGAGGCACGAAAGCGUGGGGAUCAAAC